GAGUCAAAAAGUACGUGAAAUUGUUGAAAGGGAAGCGCUUGCAACCAGACCUGCCUGCAGUUGCUCAUCCGGGCUCUCGCCCGGUGCACUCUUCUGCUGUCAGGCCAGCAUCAGUUCGGGCGGUCGGAUAAAGGCCGCGGGAAUGUGGCUCCCUCCGGGGAGUGUUAUAGCCCGUGGUGAAAUGCGGCCAGCCUGGACUGAGGUCCGCGCUUCGGCUAGGAUGCUGGCGUAAUGGUUGUAAGCGGCCCGUCUUGAAACACGGACCAAGGAGUCUAACAUCUAUGCGAGUGUUUGGGUGUCAAACCCGUGCGCGUAAUGAAAGUGAACGGAGGCGGGAACCCCUCGGGGUGCACCGUCGACCGAUCCUGAUGUCUUCGGAUGGAUUUGAGUAAGAGCAUAGCUGUUGGGACCCGAAAGAUGGUGAACUAUGCCUGAAUAGGGUGAAGCCAGAGGAAACUCUGGUGGAGGCUCGCAGCGGUUCUGACGUGCAAAUCGAUCGUCAAAUUUGGGCAUAGGGGCGAAAG
This 524-nucleotide ribosomal RNA is filed under the name Pseudocenococcum floridanum. RNAcentral's name for it is "eukaryotic LSU rRNA". It matches the Rfam family "Eukaryotic large subunit ribosomal RNA", at positions 385 to 929 of the family's 3401-position model. The record is from RNAcentral. Lineage: Eukaryota; Fungi; Ascomycota; Dothideomycetes; Gloniales; Gloniaceae.